Molecule: non-coding RNA, 105 nt
Organism: Cronartium quercuum f. sp. fusiforme G11
Lineage: Eukaryota; Fungi; Basidiomycota; Pucciniomycetes; Pucciniales; Coleosporiaceae
Source: the annotation of a GenBank genome assembly
GACUUGGUGGCGCAAUGGUAGCGCGUCCGACUCCAGUUCUGAUCUUGUAUCCUUACGGAUCCGUUGGCGAUCGGAAGGCUGCGUGUUCAAAUCACGUCCGGGUCA